GAUGAACGCUGGCGGCGUGCCUAAUACAUGCAAGUCGAACGCUGAAGGAGGAGCUUGCUCUUCUGGAUGAGUUGCGAACGGGUGAGUAACGCGUAGGUAACCUGCCUGGUAGCGGGGGAUAACUAUUGGAAACGAUAGCUAAUACCGCAUGACAACAGUUAUUGCAUGAUAACUGUUUAAAAGGGGCAACUGCUCCACUACCAGAUGGACCUGCGUUGUAUUAGCUAGUUGGUGAGGUAACGGCUCACCAAGGCGACGAUACAUAGCCGACCUGAGAGGGUGAUCGGCCACACUGGGACUGAGACACGGCCCAGACUCCUACGGGAGGCAGCAGUAGGGAAUCUUCGGCAAUGGACGGAAGACUGACCGAGCAACGCCGCGGGAGUGAAGAAGGGUUUCGGAUCGUAAAGCUCUGUUGUAAGAGAAGAACGAGUGUGAGAGUGGAAAGUUCACACUGUGACGGUAUCUUACCAGAAAGGGACGGCUAACUACGUG
Molecule: ribosomal RNA, 495 nt
Filed under: uncultured bacterium
Lineage: Bacteria
Description: partial 16S ribosomal RNA
Rfam family: Bacterial small subunit ribosomal RNA
Source: RNAcentral